Molecule: long non-coding RNA, 1955 nt
Organism: Sinocyclocheilus grahami
Lineage: Eukaryota; Metazoa; Chordata; Actinopteri; Cypriniformes; Cyprinidae
Source: Ensembl
AGAAUUUGUAAUGAUUUAUUACGGUUUUACAGCAGUAACUAGGGUAUUUUGGCGGAAACUAGGGUUACCAUGGUAAAAAUUUUGCGAAUGAUUUCCUGUUGUUGUGAGGAUCUGCCAUUAGAUUGAAUCUAGACGGGACUCAAGCUCGUGCCACGUUACGUUACGGUGCGUUAGCCUCAAAUGUGUUCCCUGUCAUUUCUCGGUAAAGUGCUGUCCUUCCAUGGAUUCACUCAAGUAUUUGAGCUGAAGUAGAUAAUCGCAAGGAACAUAGUUGUCGGUAUCUGUAGUAGAUCUGCAGCGUAUAAAUCUCAGAAAGAGAGGAAUAGUGUUAUUUUAGUCCAAUACAGCGUAACUGCAUUAUGCAGAGUGGAGCCUUUUUUCUCGCUCGCAAAUAAAAUAAUGGGAGAGAAAUGAGAAGGAAAACAAAAGCGCAGCGAAUUCUUGACUACGAAAAUGAAGAGGAUGAGGAAGAGGAACAAAAACCGGACUGCUUCAGUAACGGUGCACAGAAACGAAGAAAAAUGUAUUCCUCCAAAGAGAAAGCAGAAGAAAAUAGCUCAUCCGACGCAGGGCUUCAGAAGUUAGACAUCAAGGUUAAUGAGCUGGAUUGUUCUUCCGCAGACCUCUACACUGACAGUUCUCCUGCUUCUGAGUCUGAGGAGGCUCAUUAUUUACAGACCUAUUCGAAGAAGGAGCUUAUUGCCAUGGUCUUAUGCAUGCAGAGGGAAAUGGAGGACUUGAAGGAACAACUUAGGUGCCUUACAGCAUGUGGAAAGCUAGCAAGAAACCUGGAAAUGCUGAUCGAGAAGACCCAGAUGUGGUCAAAUGGGAACAAUGGGACCUCUCUCGGGACCCCAGAUUCUCAAGGCACGGCGCAGGCACCUGCCGAGGCAGAUGCUGUGAUACCAGAUGUGCGUUCUCCUCCAGCCAUUGUGAAUGGGCAAUGGCUGAAUCAGGGUCCAGGACCACAGAAACCUCAUGAGGCCACUCAGAAUGCUCAAAGGGACGGGCUCUUCACAGAGUUUAUCACUCCUGAACUUUUGGAGAGGUGUAACACAGGCACCACUGCCCAAAAACUGACCAACGACCUGCUCCGUGGACUCUAUGAGCGGGAAUGCCUGGCUUCCCACUCUAUAUCUGGAGUCGUGUACAACAAGAGAGGCCAACCAAAGCCUGCUCUCCCCACCGAAGAGAUCCAGGCAAUCCUGAGAACCGUUCAGUAUUUCUUUCCUGGCAAGACUGACGCAGAGAUCAAGGGCUACAUCCGACAGAAACUGCAAAACGAAGCCAAGAGGCUGAGGAAGAAACCGUCACUCUCAGGCCAAUAUGAGUCUAGAGGUUUCAGUGUACCGUUAGAUAUGAUCGACCAGAAUUGAAACGCACAGUUAGUAGAUAUUAAUUGCGUGUUCUCCAUUAAAUUAGCCUUAUUCGGUGUUACUUACAAUUAAAGUCCUGGACUCAAGUGAAAUUGAUGUGCAUUGAUAAUAGUCUUCAAAGAAAGUCACACUGAUCUCUUGCAGCUGCCAUUCGGCGGUUGACGGUUGUGGCUUUCUGAUGUGAAAAUGCAAAUGAGCGAUUCCAGAUAAGUCCAAAUGUUGCAUUCAUGAAAGCCUCUGGCUGCAUCGAGCACAGUCCACGCUUAGAUAUCGAGAUGUUUAGAUAUUAAUGAAUUAAUGAUGUGUCUCUGUGAACGUCUGUUUUUUUUAAUACUUUGUAUUUAACAGAUGUAGGAUUUCAAGACGUACCAUUGUGCGCGGAGCGUAAUAGGGUGUGACCAUUAUUUACAUUGUAUUUUCAAUGUAUUUCUUAUUUGAUGAUGUUAUUUGGUCUAUAUGACAACAGCUUUAUGUAUGUAGUUUUUUGUUAUUAAAUGCUGAAAACGCAGGUCUGCUUAUUGGUAUUAGCUUUUCAACUUUUUAUUUAUUUUUUAUUCAAUAUGGUUUUUGGUUGUUAAU